This is a long non-coding RNA of Magnolia sinica, 357 nucleotides long. RefSeq lists it as uncharacterized. The record is from RefSeq and is a predicted model, not a curated record. The transcript is spliced from 2 exons. NCBI's taxonomy places the organism in Eukaryota, Viridiplantae, Streptophyta, Magnoliopsida, Magnoliales, Magnoliaceae.
CCCAAAGAGACUUAAGGUUUAACGCUUGGCUAUAUGAGAGAGAUCUUCACAAGAGUGAGAGAGAGCGUGAGAGUGAAAGUGAAGUAAAAGACUUGAUUCUCAUAGCAGCCCGGUAUAUCUUUGAAGUUGGUUUUCUUUCGAAAGGGUUUCUUGUGGUGAGAAGUAUGAGUUAUUUGAAGCACCAAAGAGGUGACUUGUAUUGUGUCCCUUCUCUUGUAAUAUCUUGAGUUUUGGGCAAAAAACUUGAGAAAAACAUAGUACUUUCUUAUUUCACAGUGGAUUUCUCUCAGAUUUACCCCGCAGUUGUUCCCUUAACUUUGAAGGGUUCUCCAUGUAAUAUUGGUUGUGGUUUGAUUU